GUCUUGUUGAAAGGUUCAAUAACACCCAACUUCAGCUUCCUCCCAGAUGACAGGAAGUUUUUUUUCCUAGGAUUUCCUGAAACGUCAAUGAAUCCAUGUUGCCUUCCACACGCUGCAGGUUUCCAGUGCCAGAGGAUGCAAAGCAUGACGAGCCACUACUAUGCUUUACUGGAUGAACAGUGUGCUUUUCAGCGUAUGCGUCAUUCUAUUUCCUUCUGACAGAACGCUGAUCCAUUG
Non-coding RNA from Pelobates cultripes (western spadefoot toad), 237 nucleotides. Lineage: Eukaryota; Metazoa; Chordata; Amphibia; Anura; Pelobatidae. The record is from the annotation of a GenBank genome assembly.